Molecule: non-coding RNA, 144 nt
Filed under: Schistosoma mansoni
Lineage: Eukaryota; Metazoa; Platyhelminthes; Trematoda; Strigeidida; Schistosomatidae
Source: RNAcentral
CCCGACCGUUGCUGCUACCUUGAUGUGGUGUUUGGGAUCGCCUAUGGUGAUGACCCAACCUAGCUAUAUUGGCUGGAACACAUAUCUCUUUAGGCCCUACCAUACAAGGUAGGUCGUUUGGAGAACGGUAGGACCAAAGGCAGC